This 263-nucleotide ribosomal RNA is filed under the name uncultured bacterium. Its description in RNAcentral is "partial 16S ribosomal RNA". It matches the Rfam family "Bacterial small subunit ribosomal RNA", at positions 524 to 786 of the family's 1533-position model. The record is from RNAcentral.
UACGGAGGAUCCGAGCGUUAUCCGGAUUUAUUGGGUUUAAAGGGAGCGUAGGCGGACUAUUAAGUCAGCUGUGAAAGUUUGCGGCUCAACCGUAAAAUUGCAGUUGAUACUGGUCGUCUUGAGUGCAGUAGAGGUAGGCGGAAUUCGUGGUGUAGCGGUGAAAUGCUUAGAUAUCACGAAGAACUCCGAUUGCGAAGGCAGCUUACUGGACUGUAACUGACGCUGAUGCUCGAAAGUGUGGGUAUCAAACAGGAUUAGAUACC